UCCCACCAUGCACAAAUGUCACCUCAUUGC
Molecule: non-coding RNA, 30 nt
Filed under: Mus musculus (house mouse)
Lineage: Eukaryota; Metazoa; Chordata; Mammalia; Rodentia; Muridae
Source: RNAcentral